GGGAGUUUGGCCGAGUGGUUAAGGCGUUGUGUUUAGGACCUCUAUGAAUCUUCAAUCUUGAAGUCCAUGGAACAUCUGACCCGCAAUGGGAAACCGCGCAGGUUCGAAUCCUGCAGCUCUCA
Molecule: transfer RNA, 122 nt
Filed under: Rostrohypoxylon terebratum
Lineage: Eukaryota; Fungi; Ascomycota; Sordariomycetes; Xylariales; Hypoxylaceae
Description: tRNA-Leu
Rfam family: tRNA
About the family: Transfer RNA (tRNA) molecules are approximately 80 nucleotides in length. Their secondary structure includes four short double-helical elements and three loops (D, anti-codon, and T loops).
Source: RNAcentral